Long non-coding RNA from Rhinopithecus roxellana (golden snub-nosed monkey), 255 nucleotides. RefSeq lists it as uncharacterized. The transcript is spliced from 3 exons. The record is from RefSeq and is a predicted model, not a curated record. NCBI's taxonomy places the organism in Eukaryota, Metazoa, Chordata, Mammalia, Primates, Cercopithecidae.
GUGUAAUUACUGGGACUCUGUGUUCCAUACCCUUUCCCCAAACAGACAAGGUAUCUGACAGUCCUACGUGAUCUUCUGAGGAUGGCAGAUCAGAGUAUUGGAAUUUGAGAUCUACCCAGACAGGACCCUCCACUUCUCCACCAGCUUUCCACCGGUGGAAAGGAGAAGCCAGCCAAGAAUCAGCAGCUUCUGGCUACCUUGAUCAGAAGGUUGAUGAAGGCAAUGAAACAAAGAUGGAAAAACACAUCACACAGG